AAUAUUUUAAGUUAAAAAAACUAAUAGCCUUCAAAGCUUUAAAUAAAAUAUUUUUAAAUCUUA
RNAcentral lists this transfer RNA (63 nucleotides) under Colochela zhongi. RNAcentral's name for it is "tRNA-Trp". The record is from RNAcentral. Lineage: Eukaryota; Metazoa; Arthropoda; Insecta; Hymenoptera; Tenthredinidae.